AUGCUAGUAGGAGAAAUCCCAACGCAAAUUAGAAAUCUUAAAAACUUAACCUAUUUAGAUCUUUAUUUCAAUGGCCUGUCUGGUUCUAUUCCUGCCUCUCUUGGAGGCCUUCAGAAAUUACAGAUUUUGUAUCUGUCAAACAACCAGCUAUCCGGGCCGAUUCCCACUACCCUAGGAAAUCUCUCAUCUCUACUAGUUCUAGAUGUCCAAACAACUGGCCUAACUGGUAGCAUCCCUGAAUCCUUAGGAAAUCUCUCAUCUCUCCUAGCUCUAGAUGUCCAAACAAAUGGCCUAACUGGUAGCGUCCCUGAAUCCUUAGGAAAUCUCUCAUCUCUCCUAGCUCUAGAUGUCCAAACAAAUGACCUAACUGGUAGCAUCCCUGAAUCCUUAGGAAAUCUGAACCUCCUCAACAUCCUUUCUCUCGCAUCUAAUAGCCUUACAGGCUCAAUCCCUCACUCUCUUGGAAAACUUAGUUCCCUCAUUAACUUUAAUCUGAAAGAGAAUCAACUCGAGGGUACUAUGCCACCUUCGGUCUACAAUCUUUCAUUCAUCCAAAAAUUUGACGUUCAAAACAACAGACUCAGGGGAUCCAUUUCAGAUGACUUGGGUAAUAAGUGUCCAGAACUCCAGCUAUUUGACUUAAGCUUUAAUCAAUUUCAUGGGUCCAUCCCAAAGUCUUUAUGCAAUGCUUCAAUGCUUGAAGCAAUUCAAUUGGAUGAAAACUUUCUUUCUGGAGUAAUACCAAAAUGUCUUGGAUCUACCAUGAAGAGCUUAUCAAUACUGAUUCUCUCAGAUGGUCAACUAGAGGCAAGGAAUGAUGCAGAUUGGGACUUCAUUUCUAGCCUGACAAACUGUAGUAUGCUGCAGUACCUGACUCUAAGCAAUAACAAACUAGAAGGGGUGCUACCAAAUUCAAUAGCAAAUCUUUCCACAAACUUAAGAUAUUUCAGCGUGUCGGACAACAUGCUACGGGGAAAUAUACCUGAAGGAAUUGGAAACCUUGUCAACUUGCAACACUUGCAGAUGGAAGGUAAUUUCCUACAUGGGAAAAUUCCCGAGUCGAUUGGCAACCUUGGGAUCCUGGGUGAACUAUACUUGGCAAACAACAGUUUAUCUGGACCAAUUCCACCAAAACUUGGAAAUCUCACAGCAUUAAAUACACUCAUCCUGGCCCAAAAUAUGCUUACUGGUCCCAUACCAUCCAGCCUUAGAAGUUGUCCUUUGGAGACACUAAGCCUACAAUUCAAUCAGUUUGUUGGUCCUACUAGUAAGAUGCCCGUGCUACGCUACGGGAUCACACAAGAUUAA
This 1308-nucleotide ribosomal RNA is filed under the name Triticum aestivum (bread wheat). RNAcentral's name for it is "partial small subunit ribosomal RNA". Lineage: Eukaryota; Viridiplantae; Streptophyta; Magnoliopsida; Poales; Poaceae. The record is from RNAcentral.